AGCGCAGGCGGGAAGACAAGUUGGAAGUGAAAUCUAUGGGCUCAACCCAUGAACUGCUUUCAAAACUGUUUUUCUUGAGUAGUGCAGAGGUAGGCGGAAUUCCCGGUGUAGCGGUGGAAUGCGUAGAUAUCGGGAGGAACACCAGUGGCGAAGGCGGCCUACUGGGCACCAACUGACGCUGAGGCUCGAAAGUGUGGGUAGCAAACA
RNAcentral lists this ribosomal RNA (207 nucleotides) under uncultured bacterium. RNAcentral's name for it is "partial 16S ribosomal RNA". It matches the Rfam family "Bacterial small subunit ribosomal RNA", at positions 568 to 774 of the family's 1533-position model. The record is from RNAcentral.